UGGUCCUACGGGGCGCAGCAGUGGGGGAUAUUGCACAAUGGGGGAAACCCUGAUGCAGCGACGCCGCGUGGGCGAAGAAGUAUUUCGGUAUGUAAAGCUCUAUCAGCAGGGAAGAAGAUGACGGUACCUGACCAAGAAGCCCCGGCUAACUACGUGCCAGCAGCCGCGGUAAUACGUAGGGGGCAAGCGUUAUCCGGAUUUACUGGGUGUAAAGGGAGCGCAGACGGCAGUGCAAGUCUGGAGUGAAAGCCCGGGGCCCAACCCCGGAACUGCUCUGGAAACUGUGCGGCUAGAGUACUGGAGGG
This 305-nucleotide ribosomal RNA is filed under the name uncultured bacterium. RNAcentral describes it as "bacterial SSU rRNA". It matches the Rfam family "Bacterial small subunit ribosomal RNA", at positions 334 to 656 of the family's 1533-position model. The record is from RNAcentral.